CUCAGCAUGCUGCUGGGGUUUCGUGACCAUGGGCGACUCCGCUUGCUGUUCAUCGUUUUUAUUGUGAUACUGACGGGUGGAAUUUGCCUCACAUACAAUUGGCAACAAGAGGAGGAUGCAGAGUGGAUGUCACAGCCUAGAGAGCCAUCGGUUGAACCCCUGGCGAGCAUCCGUGUAGACGAUGUUCUACUGGCGUUGCCCAGGCCCACGCCCGGACGGAGCAUAUUUUUCCAUGAAACGCGCAGCUAUGAUGCCAAAAAUAAAGAGUAUAAUCAUCCACUGCAUCUGAAUGCCCGUCAAGCGUGUGCAAUCGAAUCUGCGGCACUCCACAAUCCGAAUUCCCAAGUAUUUGUUUUGUUUCUCCAUCGAAAAUACGCACUUACUGGUGUUCACUCAAACGAAGGCAAGAACAGCACGGAGCAGCCUCUUUUCGAUGCUGUCCUAAGCUACAGCAAUGUCCACUUGAGGCGUGUGAAUCUCUGGAGAUAUGCUGCAGGCACACCCAUCGAGGAAUGGCUCAAAAACGGUCAACUCUUUCGCUCGCGCUUUUUGGUCUCUCAUAUAUCGGAUUUCCUGCGUUUUGUAACACUAUUUCGCUAUGGCGGAUUGUAUUUGGACUUGGAUGUGGUUGUGCUGAAAAGUAUGGAGGAUGUGCCACCCAAUUACACUGGAGCCGAGUUCGAGGACGUGCUUAGCUCUGCCGUCAUUAACUUGGCACCUACUGGCGUUGGUCAUAAGAUUGCCAAGUCGCUGCUGUACGACUUUCAGCAUAAUUUUAAUGGCCAACAUUGGGGUAACAAUGGGCCGGGUGUGAUUACCCGAGUGGCCCAACAAAUUUGCAGCACCAAAAAUAUCUCAGUGCUGCUGGAGAAUCGCAAACGCUGCUUGGGCUUCCAAGUGUUUGACUGCACAGCCUUUAACCCUGUACCAUCCGAAAAUUGGAGGCAAUUCUUUGAACCCGACGAUUUGGAGCAGACCAUGGCACUCACCAAGUACUCGUAUGUGGUGCAUGUGUGGAACAAGCAGUCGAAUAAGGUGCCCAUUAAGGUGGGUUCAAGCAGUGCAUAUGCCAAAUUGGCAGAACGUAAUUGCCCGCGCGCCUAUCAUGCGGCGGGUGAAUAUUUCUAGGCGAAGAGUUUUCUUGGCUUUGCACUCGCCUGCAGCGGUUUUUAUUUUAUCUCACUUCACAAUAAACACUGGAGGGAUAAACGCUGCCUCCUUCUGUUGCUGUUCCUUUGACUUGGCCUAAAAAAAACUUACCGUCGUGCAAAGUAAAAUAUCCCUAGUUACCCUAGUUUACCGGUGUUCAAAGUAAAAUAUCCCAAUAUUAGAAUAGAUGCGAAAAGGCAAUCAGUGUGGUGGGGACCAAUAACUAACGCUCGGAGAGGCACCCGCCAAAAAGAAGCAAAAAAAUUGCCGCUGUCUUGAAUAAGUUGGUAAAUUCUCCUCGCUCCGAGCCUUUCUUGCUUUCAAUGGGCUGUUGCCCAAUUGGUCUUUAUCGACGGGAACAAAUCUUGCGAAUAAUUAUGUGAAGCUUUGGAAUGGUUCAAAUUCAUUUUCUACUUCAAGAAGGCUGUGACGAAAAUUGUUUGUUGCCGAUAAAAGUAUGCCGUGUUUCAAAUGAAGAAUCUGCCCAAAUACUUAAUUAUUUAUAGUUAUUUAUUUCACAAAAUUAUAUUGUUGUCCAAAUUUAAGCGACGUAGAUCAUCAGAGGUUGAGUUUUCUUGCCCUCAGCAUGCUGCUGGGGUUUCGUGACCAUGGGCGACUCCGCUUGCUGUUCAUCGUUUUAAUUGUGAUACUGACAGGUGGAAUUUGCCUCACAUACAAUUGGCAAAAAGAGGAGGAUGCAGAGUUGAUGCCACAGCCUAUAGAGCCAUCGGUUGAACCCCUGGCGAGCAUUCGUGUAGACGAUGUUCUACUGGCGAUG
This is an RNA transcript of Drosophila guanche, 1927 nucleotides long. It is a transcript of the gene named lactosylceramide 4-alpha-galactosyltransferase-like, with no coding region annotated. The record is from RefSeq and is a predicted model, not a curated record. The transcript has 3 exons. NCBI's taxonomy places the organism in Eukaryota, Metazoa, Arthropoda, Insecta, Diptera, Drosophilidae.